UACGGAGGGUGCGAGCGUUGUCCGGAAUUACUGGGCGUAAAGCGUGCGUAGGUGGUUCGUUAAGUCUGAUGUGAAAGCCCUGGGCUCAACCUGGGAAUGGCAUUGGAAACUGGCGACCUAGAGUGCGGUAGAGGGUAGUGGAAUUCCCGGUGUAGCAGUGAAAUGCGUAGAGAUCGGGAGGAACAUCCGUGGCGAAGGCGACUACCUGGACCAGCACUGACACUGAGGCACGAAAGCGUGGGGAGCAAACAGG
This 253-nucleotide ribosomal RNA is filed under the name uncultured bacterium. RNAcentral's name for it is "partial 16S ribosomal RNA". It matches the Rfam family "Bacterial small subunit ribosomal RNA", at positions 524 to 776 of the family's 1533-position model. The record is from RNAcentral.